GUCUACGGCCAUGCCACCCUGAACACGCCUGAUCCCGUCUGAUCUCGGAAGCUAAGCAGGGUCGGGCCUGGUUAGUAUUUGGAUGGGAGACCACCCGGGAAGUCCUGGUGCUGUCGGCG
RNAcentral lists this ribosomal RNA (119 nucleotides) under Pteropus alecto (black flying fox). The record is from RNAcentral. Lineage: Eukaryota; Metazoa; Chordata; Mammalia; Chiroptera; Pteropodidae.